GACGAACGCUGGCGGCGUGCCUAAUACAUGCAAGUCGAACGCUUCUUUUUCCACCGGAGCUUGCUCCACCGGAAAAAGAGGAGUGGCGAACGGGUGAGUAACACGUGGGUAACCUGCCCAUCAGAAGGGGAGAACACUUGAAACAGGUGCUAAUACCGUAUAACAAUCGAAACCGCAUGGUUUUGAUUUGAAAGGCGCUUUCGGGUGUCGCUGAUGGAUGGACCCGCGGUGCAUUAGCUAGUUGGUGAGGUAACGGCUCACCAAGGCGACGAUGCAGCGCCGGCCUGAGAGGGUGCUCGGCCACAUUGGGACUGAGACACGGCCCAAACUCCUACGGGAGGCAGCAGUAGGGAAUCUUCGGCAAUGGACGAAAGUCUGACCGAGCAACGCCGCGUGAGUGAAGAAGGUUUUCGGAUCGUAAAACUCUGUUGUUAGAGAAGAACAAGGAUGAGAGUAACUGUUCAUCCCUUGACGGUAUCUAACCAGAAAGCCACGGCUAACUACGUGCCAGCCGCCGCCGUAA
RNAcentral lists this ribosomal RNA (523 nucleotides) under uncultured bacterium. RNAcentral describes it as "partial 16S ribosomal RNA". It matches the Rfam family "Bacterial small subunit ribosomal RNA", at positions 28 to 523 of the family's 1533-position model. The record is from RNAcentral.